Parus major (Great Tit) is the source of this 12430-nucleotide long non-coding RNA. RefSeq lists it as uncharacterized. NCBI's taxonomy places the organism in Eukaryota, Metazoa, Chordata, Aves, Passeriformes, Paridae. The record is from RefSeq and is a predicted model, not a curated record. The transcript is spliced from 4 exons.
AUUUUUUUUUAUUUUAAAAAUUAUUUAAUUGAGUUUAAUUUAACUCAAAACUUAAAUUAAUGUAAUUAAUUAUUCAGCCUUCAAAAUGAAGGAGAUCAUUUUAGACUGUGUUCUUCCUUUUAAAAAUGUAUUUGUAUAUUUUGCCUUCCAAUGUUGAUCUUGUAUGAUACACUCAAAACACAUUUUUAGCUUUCCUCCACAACCACUGGAAUUAGAAGCAUUGCUAUUGUUGAGAAUGAGAGCUGAAAUCCCUUUCAGAAGGGAACUAGGGUUUUCUGGAAAAGGUGAUUUUUAUAAGGCUCAUCAUAGCCACUAUCACUUUUGCUUUCCUUGAUUAGCAGAAUGAAGCUGCAAAACAUCCCUAUCUCUUCAUGGGCAAUAUGGAAAGUAAACAGGAUCUUUCUGCUGCUUUCAGAUCACACAGCUUUAAGUAUUUCCAGCUGGAAUGUUCGAUACAGGUGUCUGGUUCUGGUUUGCUGAUAGGCCAGGCUGCAAACACCUUCCAAGUAUGUGGUAGCUCCUCAUGGUCCUGGCAGACACUGCAAUGCUCAGGAGGCAGUGAUGGCUGGAAGAUGUGUCCUGGGGACCCCAUUCAGGACAUCCUGGGUUUUGCAGCACGACCAUCUAGAUGUAGUUUAUGUGACUUUGGUGAAGAAAUUGGUGCUGCUCCUUGUUAGAAGUUGUACCUUAUCACACCUGUGAAACUUUUGCUGUGUCCUGGAGAUGCAGAGAAGCAAUCAGGCACUGAGCAGCAGUGGUUAGCACAAAAGGAACAAUACCCUGCCACACAUUUAAGAAGGGGAGUUCCAAGUCCAGAGGAAUGCAACUUUGGCUUCCAGAUCCUAGGCUGAACUUUGAGGCUGUUGAAAAGAAACAGAUUUUGUAGAAGUGUCAUAAUAGUAAAAGGGCUUUCAAAUUGGUUUUGCAACUUUUGACACCUGAAACAGUGUAAGAACAGAUGUGUUGGUUUUCCUGCAUGGGAAGGAGUGGCCCCAUGGGUGUAUCGAUGUGGUUUAUCAGUUGAAGGUGAAAGAUGUGGAGUGUCUGUGUGCUUCACACAGCCACAUCCAAUUUUACAAUUAGAAUUUUACACAGUUUUCCAAGGGGUGGGGCAGAGCAGUGGGUAUUUCUGUCUGAAUUGAGAUACAUCUCCACACUUGAGUGGUGGGGGAAUGGGUAGUGGGGGUUAGAGGUCCUACAGUCAGGACUAGGAGCAUCAUGGAUGUGAUGGCUGGGCUCCUAAGCCCUCCUGAGAUUCCAGAAUUGCCAUGGUCAGCCAAGAGCUUCCCAGGUCCUUCUCAGCCCCAGCAGUGGUAAAUGGCACCAUCUCAUACAAGCUGAGAGGAGAAGGUGGCUACAAAACCAGAACAGGUCUCUGGAGCCAGCAUCAAGGAGUGUGGGGCAAAAGAAUCCCUUCUGAAAGGCUGAGCCCUUUUCCGGGUGUGGGCCAGUCAUUGUGUGCCUUUCUCAGAGUUUUAGGGGUGUGAGCAAAUGGUUGGAGCACAGCUGAAGUUUACAAAAACUGUCUGUCAAUGGCUAAGGAUUGUUGUUUCUCUGAUGUUUGGGAAGGUAAUGCAAGAGCAGAUAUUAGGUUCAGAGUCUUCUUGAAGGUAUGCUACCCAGUUUCUAAACAAUACUGUGUUAUCAAAAAUUACUAAUGAAAUAACAAUGCUUUGAGGGAAUUUCAUGGGAAGAAAGUGAUCGCAAUUCCAAAAAAAACAGAAUCAGAAGAAUUGGCACCUAACCAUGGUAGAUAACAUAUUGCACUGAGAUUUGUUUCUAUGGAAGAGAAGAAGCAGAGCUUGGUUAGUUAAAUUCCUGUUUACCACUGAGAAUGCCCUGCAGUGUGAUUUUCCUGCUCUGUCAGUUGGAAGAUGCUUUCUAUGGGAUAUCUGUGACUAUAUGAUUUUUUUUUUUAUAUACAGGCUACAGUUCUCCUGUCUUCUCCUGCGUUCUCCUCAUCUUUAGGACACCAGGCAGCUGUUAAGAGCAGGAAACAAAGGUGGUAAGGUAGAGGUCCUGAUUUUGCUUGUGAUGAUUUUUAGAGGAAGACUCGAGACCCGGUUUGUUGCCUGCUCUGGGCAGAUUCCUGGUGACAUAAAUAGCAUUGUGUGGUGGAGGCAGACUGAAGGGAAAUAAUGGAAAUUAUUUGGUUUUACUGCUCUGAGGGCUCUAGUUGCAAAAUCAGUAGCACUUGUGCAUUAUGUAGCUAUUAGAUGGUAGAGACCAGCUGGUUAGUGGUGUCCUGCUUUUUCUGAGGAUCCUUCUGACUAGACAGUAUUGGACACUGGCAGAUCAAGAAAUUAGUGAAUCCCCUUUGUAAACAACAUGAUAAACCGAAUUAGAGGUACUCCAGAUUCUUCAUAUCUUACUGUUAAAGAAAAGCCUCCCUAAGGCAGAACCCAAAUGUCACUCUCAGUUGAGCUGAGAUGCGGGAACAUCCCAGCCGUGAGACAAAGCUGCUGUUGCCCUGACCCCCCUCGUCCCUCACCCGAGACUGUCAGACAAAAAUUCCCAUUGCAGGUACUGCCACCCCCCGCCCCGCUGACCCAAAGUGCUGUAGAUACAGUGGUGUGACGAUGAGAAAACCCUGGAAACCCCACAAGCCAAGGAGCACGGGCUCCUCGGGCCAUCGGGGUGAGCGCUAGGUGUCACUGCAGCCCAAGGAAAAGGCAGCGCUGCAAGGCUCCCAGAAACUGCCGGCGAAAAAGAAAUAUUUUGCAUUUCAGGAAAAGUUGAUUCUGCUGGUGGCAAAAAAUGAAAAGACUGCUAUGCUAUAAAUACAGUCGCAAGUAUAAAUAUAUGAAUUUUAUGUGACUAGCAUCUUUUAUUCAGAAGGAAAACAGUAAAUUGCUCUUUAUGCUUGGCUCACUUUCAUUAGCACACAGUGAUAGAACUCUCAUCUUGUUUCUGUUGGAGACUCCCAUAUUGAAAAAGGUCUGCUGUACUGAAACUGAUCAAUGUUACUUCCUUAAUUAGCUGCAAACUUGAGAUAACUGAUACAACUUAAUAGAAUAAGAAACACAAAAAGUACAGAGCACACCAAACCAAAAACAAGCCUAUGGGAAAGAAGUUACACCUCUCCAACACCUCAAAUUGUUCACUCAUCUUUCUUAAACUUUUUAACCUUUCCCCCUUAUUACUUUCUCCCUGCAUCCUAGAUGUCCUUAUUUCCUCUACUCUUUCAGGCUAAAUAUGCUCUGAGAUAAUUGCAGACAUUACGAGUUGGAAAAAUUAGAGUGAAAAGUAAGAAAUACAAAUUUAUAUUCAGAUCAAAUUAAUCCUUUUAUUUCUUUAUGUCUGGAUUUCAUAAUUUGCUGAUUUUUAAUGUAGAGCAGUGUGAAUAAGAAGCAAAGUUCUGGAAAUGGGUUUGUUUUUUUUUCUGUCUUUUGACAAAUGUUGGCUUCUAUCAAAAUAACCCCCCAUAAAACCUUGUAUAGCUCCCUUGUGAGUUCUUCCUAUGCCAAUUAAGUUCAAAUGAAAUGGAGUGGCUUUUUUUUACUUUUAAAAAAAUUAUUGUUUAUCAAAUGUGUCCAGACAGCCUCUGGCUACCAUUAGCAGUUUGCAAAUAAAUAAAACAAAUGGCUUAUUGAUCUGUGUCAGCUCAGUGUCCUCUCCAGGAUAAACUAGACAUGUUCAGCACCACAUCCUCAGGCAAGGGCUGGAGCAAACAGAUGAACCAUGCAUCCUGCCCAAAAAAGCAACCGGCUGGGAUACUGGCAGAGCAGUGGAAGAAAUGAUAUUCACAGGCAGACAGAUCUCCUACUGGUGAGUAGGUAGGAGGCAUUUCCAUGAUGAAAUGUUCCUGCUAGGGAUGACAGGUGAAAGACUGUCCCUUCUGAUCUUCUGCAGAGGAAGAGAGGAGGAUUGGGAGGUAACUGGGUACCUGCCUUGCCUUCUCCCAGCAGUGGGCUCAAAGCUGAGUUCUACGUUCACCCACCAGUAGGAGUACCUUCCACUGAAAUGGGUGGGUAAUCAUGGAUCCAAAAGGGUUUCUGGAGGAGGUGAGUCACAGGACUGGCUGUUCAUUUAGCAGAUGCAAGGAAAGGAUACAGAUUCAUGGUGCUAAGUGAGCUCCUCAUGACCCUGCUUUGAGAAGGAGGGCUGAAACAGAGACUUCUAGAACUCCCCUUCCCACCUGAAAGUUUUUCCAUUUCUAAUUCCCAGGUUCACAGAUUGUAUUACAAAGAAGUGAUCAUGAAAUUGAGAUUCUGGUUUACACCAUUGCAGAGAAGGAAAAAAAAAAAAAAAAAAGAGAGUUCAAAGAUAUUGUAGUAGGAUCAAAUCACUCUAAGAAAAGAAUGUGACCUCAUGGUGGCCUACCAAAUUUGCUCUAGUUUAGUUCAGGAACUUUUUUCACCCAGUUACUUCAAGUGUGAAAUUAUCCUGUUCAGAAUGGGUGUUAACAGGUUAAAGAGCUGCAGACUGAUAAAUGCAGAUCUCCUCAAUCAUGCUUGAUGAGAGGCACUUACAGGCCUCAUGGGCUGCCAACAGGAUCAUCUAUCAACUCUGUAGGUGUCCAGGCCAUAAGUGAGGGAAGCCAGCAGGUGACAUGCAGUUUUUUCAUAAGAUGUGAAUAUUGAGAUCUAUGACACACAGCUAACAUCAGAUAAAACAGAUAACAUACAGGAAAAAAAAAAAAAAAAGAUUUAAAGGUGAGCUGAGGUAAACUGGAAAGUUUUCAGUAGUUGGAAUUUUUGAGGGUUUAAUUACUGGUUAAUUUAUGUUUAAUGAGAGAUAUAUUAAUAUAGUUAACAUGAACUUAUAACAAUGUUUUCCAUAAUAAAUUGUGUAGUUUUAUGUCAAGACCUACAAUCAGGGCCCAGGUCCCUAAACAACAUCAAUGCCUCACAGACCACUUGGAACAGAGCAUUUUGGUUAAUUCUGCUGUCAUUUUUUACUGUAGAGUAGGAGUGUGCUGCUUUCUUCUAACUAUCACAGUGACAGCAAUAUCUAAUGCUUCAGUGUCAGUCCUUGUGCUUUUGGUAUGCUUGGUGCCAUUCCAUCAUUCUCCUUUCUUCUUAGUCCUGUUCUCUUCUGAUCUCAGCUUGUUUUCCUUCAUGUGGUCAUGUUCACGUCUUUUCCAUAAACUACAUGUUCUUUCCUCAUUUUUCUUCUUUCCUUAAACAUAAGCUCUCCUUCACCAGGGCCAACUCUGUAAAUGUCUGAGUCUUGCUGAAUCACUCAUUAGUAUCAUCCCCACAGACUUCUCUUGAACAAUCAUUUCCAGCAGCACAUCAGCACAUCAUGACUGCCAAAGAAGCCGCUUGAAUGGAAACAAACUGCAACUCAACGUGCCCAGUGUGACACCAAACACAUGUGAUGUCAUUCCACGACCACAAGACUUAGUGUUACUUUGUUUUGAUUUUCCCCAGCCACUGGUACUGGACUAGCAGCAUCACAAAGAAUGGUUAUUUAAUGGCUGCUGUGCAAGCCAGAGAGUCUGAGCUAGUAGCUUGAGAAAGUUGUGAUUUGAUUUCAUCCUGGCCAGCCUGAAAGUCUGAAGCAUCUGACAUUACACAGGCCCAGAAAAACAGAAGACAUAAGACAGUGAUUUCAUACGAGGAAUUGAGAUGUUAUAAUAAGCUUAGGGACCAAAAGGUGAACAGCAAAGGUUAAAGAGAGCAUGUGGAAAGACAGUCUACUUUUCUUCCAGGAUAAGAGGGAAAAUAUUUGUCUUCUUUCCUCUAGCUUGGAGCACAACAGAGCUCUCUCAUUUCUCACUAAGUAGGGGGAUCAUAUGAUGAAUCAAAAUACAGAGCUUGCUUUGGGCUAUAAAGCAGCAAUCCAGACAUAUUGUCCCUUUCUAGCCCUUGGCCAGCAGUCACUCGAGCACCAACAUGUCCUGUACCUGGCAGGGUAUUAAACCUAUCCCUUUCCAGUAACAUAUAGCACAGCAGUUAAGAUCUAGGUCAAGCGGAGUGAGACCGGAAUGGUUUUGUCUUCUCAUGGCCGCUUCUGUGAAAGGAGGAUUGAACAGACCCUGCCUUGCUAACUAAUAAAAAUAGACAGUGUCAUAGGUAUCAAGUGCUUGAGCCAAACUAAGAGAAAAUAAAAUCUGCAAUAUCAGCAGAUUCUUUGUGUGGCUGUUCAUAAUGGAGAGGGGCUAAAGAACCCAAAGAGAGCAGGCACAAGCACAUAUAUGUACCAUCUUUCCACUGAUUUCCUGUCAGCAGCCACCUCCUUCCACGGUUACCCCUGUUUCUUUUUUAAUUUACCCAUUAAGUCACCAGACCUAAAUACUUUUCUUGCUUAUUUAGAUCCAUUUUAAAUAACACAUGGAAAAAUAACACAUGGAAGGUUUCUUCCCAGGUAUUUGGUCAACAUCUAAUGAAAAUAUGAGAUGAAGUGUUUAGGUUCCCCUACUCAUCAAAUCCUAGGUCCCCAUUAGAAACACAAAAGCUUUAUAAAUGCUUAUAAAUGCUGUGCCAUAAGGCUUCCUCUGCUUUUAGUAACAGAAAUUCCAUCUACUGGUUUGUCUUGCUGCGACAGCUCCAUGCUUCUGCUAUGGCCAAACAUGACAUUCCCAGUUUUUACGAUGGAUGGAAACUAUGGUGACAGUAAGUUCAGACAUGUGCUCCAGGCAUGCCUGGACAAGCAUCAUGGAAAGGCUCUGAAAAACCUCCAGCUAGCUAUUUCCAUUGUCACUGUGCUUUUAGACCCUUGCUAACAAUUCAAGGUAAAAAGUAUGAACUUUUUUAGACAUCUUUUCUGAUUCUCAGACAACCCACCGAAAUAUUGAAGUUUUCACACUGAGACUUUCCCAUUAAUAUACUUGCUUCAAAACUUGUUUACCAUAAAUUUCUUAUCUUGCCAAAAAAUUGAGCCUGGUUGUGACAGGCUUCUGGCAUCAUAUGAUGUCAUUGCUGUUAUCUGAGUUUGAUAAACAGGAAAGCAUUUCCUGCAAGAAUUGUUGCACUUGCAUUUUUUGAAUAGUCUCAUGGGAGCAUAUUCAAUCAAUUUUAUUAAUUCCUUUUCUCUGGGCAUUCAUGCCAGUGAAAUAUAGUCACUUCAAUGUUUAAGGAAAGAUGAAAUGUCAAAGGGAAAUGGCAAAUGACAUAAGCAUAUUUAUUUCAUUGCAGUUAUAGAAGAUUCUUGGACUAUUUUUUCAGUUCUGAUUUUCUGGAAUUUGAAAUAGAUUCGUAAAUUGGCACAUUCUCCUAAAGAAUGAAAUAUCAUUUGAGUUGCUUGCAGAACUGUACUAUACCCUCACAGAUUUCAUUGGAGCUUUGUAUUUCAGUUCAGGUUAUCAGCACUAGGAUCUGUAGAACAGAAAUAGGAAUGCCAUGGUUUUUUUUAAAGACUGUUUUUUCUGCUGAGUUCACUAAAUAUGCAAAGAAAUAUGCCAAACACCUCUCUGUUUCAACCACAAAUUUGCAUUUUAUCAUUGCCUCAUUCCAAGUUGCUUAUUUCUCUUUCUUUCUAGGGGCCAAAUGACAAUUUUCUCUUGUAAGGAAAACAUAUUUCUCAUCAGAACCUUUUAAAAUCAAUAAAAAAAAACAAACCCCAAAGCAACAUUAUAAUGAUAAUUUAAAAAUGCCUGCUUUGGUUAGAGAAUGUACUAUACUUUCUGAACAGGAUGUGUUCUGAGUUAUAAACAAAAAUAAAUAAUAAAACAUGUUUUAAAGAUUCACUUGAAUUUGACAGCAAUUUUCUAUCCAGGUCAACACAUAAGACACUUGAAGUGUUGCCAGUUCACAUAAUUUAAGCUGUAUAGUUUCAAAGGUUGGGGUUCUGCUGUGAAGCUUGAAAUUGACCCAUUUGCAAACCUUAAGCUGAAUUAUCAUCAACAUAUUGAGAAAUGUGUGUGUAAAUGAAAAUGAUACAAUUUCUUCUGGGACCCAAGUCAUGCCAUUGAGAAUAAAAAUAGUAUCAGAUGACCCAGUUUCAAACAAAAGUAACUCAACAGUGAGUAUUUACAAUUCCUAAGUGGAGAACAUGUAGUAUGUUAACACUGGAAGCAGAAGUGUUAAAAUCACUGGGCACAGCACUUGCCCCAAACAAUAUGAAAGUCGAGUUAAAAAAUCUCUGAGGAAGGCUUGUUUCAGAAAAGUGUGUGUGAACUACCUCUUUUCCCUCUGUAAGUCAGAGUGAAGGGAAGAGAGGAGUUGUACAGGCCUAUUACUGUCCUUUAGUAUAAAGACACCGCUCACUCUGUCCUGUGGAAGGUUCAUUACUAGAGCAUGACAACAGCUAAUGCACCUAUACAUUGGAAGCUGUAUUAUUAAUGGCCCUGCUAAUAGCUGGUGACAGUGAGAGAGUGAAUUUCCACAGUUCACAGCCCUUUGUAAGUCUUCUUCUGGAACAUUUCUCUCCACUAUCAUCACCCAGACUCCCCCUCUGACCUCUUUAUCAGUCAGUGAGUGGUACCAGAGGCUUAAGACAUAAUCACUGCAGUGUGCCAUGUGUGCUUUGCAGGGCAACACAACACAGGGAGAAACUAGAAAAAAAAAACAAACCCAGUGCUUUUUUUUAAAAAAAAAAAAGUUCCUAUAAAUACUUUAUGGGGGUAAUGAUAAUGUAAUUUAGUUCCACUUUUAUUCUUCUGUGCUUACUUCACAAGAACUUUCAUGUUUCAUCUUCAAGUGAAUCUUCUUAUUUACAGCUAUGCAGCCUGAUCUAAAAUUCACUGUGGGCAGUGAAAAUGCUGCCAAUGACUUCAGUGGACUUUGGAUCAAGCCCACAUCUACCUUGAAACUCUGUUUUCCUUGACUCCUAGACAUGAAAUCAAAGGCUGAACCUGGCUUAUCUAUAUAUUUGAGGAAUACAGAAGUAACAUUAAAAGAAAACUUUGUUAUGUCUGCUUCCACUUCUGCCUCCCUUUCAAGGGGAAGAGAAGUAGCUUCUCAUUUCAGUACCUCUGCAAUUAAAGCUAAUAUAACCAGCUGCAUGUUACAGUUUAUUUCAAGCACGAUUUAUGUUCAGCAAACAUUAGAAAACAGAUGUUUUUUGCUCCCACCUUUUUGCACCACAGAACAAGUGGUUGACUGAAUCCCCGUUGUUCAAUACAGAUAAUGUUACACAGAUGUUGCUGAAGCACAUCACUGGCCCUUGGACUGUGCUUGGUGUCUGCAGGAGCACCUGGAGUCUUCCAGGGCCUUUUAAGCCUUGCACUUGGCAUUUCACAGAAAUGUACCAAAACACAGUGAUAUUGCUGGUGGUUUUAACAGGGAGGGUUGGUGUAGUGUCCUGCUCAGCGUGAGACAACAAAGGCGUCACCUCUCACUACUCCAGCUCUUGAAACUGCCAAAGCUUCUUUAGACUCCUUGUUUACCAUUAAUGCUGUUGAUGGUUACUGUACUUCUGUGAAAGUAGGUUAUGAGGUUGGCAAAACCAUCCUGAGUAUCUUCUCUCUAAAAAGAGACAAUAUAAAAACAAUAGAAAUACUUGAUUAUCAAUUUCUAGUAAUGCUGACUUUGAAUUUGAUCUGUUCAGAGAGGUUUAAAACACUUUUUUUUUUUUCCAGCAGCAUCAAGGAAUUUGUAUUGCAUAGCAUUUUCCAUAACUGAAAGGUACUGGAGAGAGGCUCAGAGGCACAGAAGAGCUGUGACAGGAGGUCAAGUGCAUCACCUGCUGCCAUGAGCACUGAAGAGGUGAGACCUGUGGUGCAUGUACCAGCAGUAAGGAAAGCCGCAGCUCACAGUUUACCAGAUGUGAGGUGUUUCAGCAGAACUGAGGCCAGAGGCAGAGUCUGCUACUCACUGAACAGGACUGCAUGAAAUUUCCACUGGUAAAAUACCACCUUUUUCCUGUGAAAGCAUUUCCAUUUAACCUCUAAGGAUUAGAAGAGUGGAACCACCUCCUAUUCUUCUGAGAAGCAGUGCUUAUGGAUGCCAAAGUGGUACAUCUCUGAAAUCUGGUCAGGAUCUUCCCAGUAAGAUAUUUUCACAUUUAAACUGUUUGUUCCUUCUUUUGUAUGAAAAUGAAAAGUAUUUCCUCCAAAAGAUGAUGAGCCAUACUGUAAACAGGUAAGAAUAGCAAAAUAAGUCCAGCCACAGAAAGGUAGUAAUAAUAAUAAUAAUAAUAAUAAUAAUAAUAAUAAUAAUAAUAAUAAUAAUAAUAAUAAUAAUAAUAAUAUAAACACAUACUACUUCUGUGACAAAGAAUUUUGAUGUCUUAGAUCUUCUGGUAUUAUUUUGUGUUCUUAUUUUCUGUUGCAUCCUUUGUCACCUAAGUCAGCUACUCCCUGGCUCUCAGAAAAGCUUUUUACAGCCAGUAUUUCACUUCAUGCAAUAGCUCUUUUCCUUUAUGAUUUUAAUGGUUGGUGCCAACCUAGGUGCAAGAAUUAGGGAUGGAUUUAUCCCCCCCAGAGUUUCUCCUUCUGACCACAGCAUGGCUUAUGUCUAAGGCUCCAAGAAUCAUGCAGAACACCAUGGUUGUUUCCAGACAGUCAAGCAGGAGACCAGGUUUGUCAGCAGCACUUCCAAAAGGCUGUUUUUGUCUCUUUAUCCUUCUUGCCUCUGCUGGUGUUCACAUCCUUCUUGCCUACCCUGGUGCUCCUUUAACUCAGCCACCAGAUGUUUUUUCAGAGUUUGGCUCUCAUCCCAGCCAUCCCAUCCCAUGCUCCACAGUUGAGUGAAAGAGGUGCACCUGUGGCUCCUUAUUAAACCUCUGAUUUAAGGUGAGUGAGUCAACAGCAGUGCCUGUCUCUGUGCUGCAAUAAGCAAUCUUCUGAUUGAAAAAAGUAUAAAAGAUCUGAUUAAGAGUGCACUGGCAUUGGGUGAUGGGAAGAGCAUAAAAGAACUGUGUCUCUGGCAGGUGGGAAUGCUGCUAGCAUUGCUCUCGUGUCAAGUUGAGAGUUGAGAGUUGGGUGUUUUUGCCAUUGUUGUUGCCCUGAAGAGGUUUAAGUCUUCUUCCUCAUACUGACUACUCACUAAGAAGUGAUAAAUCUCCACAUAAUAAGCUCUACAAAUGUAAAAUGCAACAUGCUGAAAUUAUAGAGUCUAAGUGAAGGAUAAUGCUUUCCAAGCUGUCUAUUUUCCCAAGGACAUACAGCCACACACACUGGUCUGUUCCUCUGCAGUUUUGACUUGACCUCUGUAUUAUGUCCCCUCCCUAAAAGGUCAGUUUGAUGUCUUUAUUUUUAAUGAUUAAAUAAUGUAUAGGUCUUGGUGUUUUGGGAUGAGGGUUUGGCUCACCUGUGUAACUCUCAAAAAAGAGGAUUUCAGCCUUUGGUUCCCAAAUCAUAUAAAAACUCCAAGUUUCAGGUGGCACAGAACACAGCUCAGUCAUUGACUGCUUGCGCACAGCUGUGUGAAAACUUAAAGUUUAUAAAGACCAUUUUCCACUUAAAAAAAUAAUUAAAAAGAAUAAGCAAUUUUUAGUUUUUUAAAGAAGUCCCACAAACUCCUAGCUAGUUUUUGGAAUUCAUCUUCCCAAUUACUCACAGCAAACACAAAGGAAGUCAGCAGAGGAUUUUACUGAUACUUUAAGCUAAAUGUGUGGUAUAUACAAGAUCUCACCCCCAUCAAGUAUGAAAACUCACAAAUACAGUUCAUUAUACAAGUGCAGUAGAGCUGGAGUUUCCCAGGUUUCUAUUUGUGAACUUUUCAUCCAUGUUCAUUUCAGAGACAUGGGAGACUUGUCAUUGAUGUUAGUUGGGUCUGAUUUAGUAUGUCUGUAAAAGAAGCUAAGAGAAAAUGCCGUACAAGUGAAAAAAAAAUAAUGACUUCUAUUUUGUUAGUAUUUAUUACAGACACAUUCUGUCACUGGCUGAGAUUUCAUGAUACUCAGUAACGUAGAAACCCCUGAGAGAAAGUGUCAACCCCAAACUGCUGUGUCAUUUGGCAUGUCCUGACAGACAAACCAAAGACAAACAUGACAGACAAAGAGCAAAGGGACGGCUGGCCAUGAAUUGUCUCUGCCCAGCUUCAUGCCAGUGGUGUGGCACACAGCAUUGAAGUGAAGGCAAAGGAGCUGCGGGGCUUGCAAGAUGCAAAAGUGCAAAGUGAAAGAGAAAGGAAAGCAGGCACAGGAUUGUGAUGAAGGGGACAUGGACAAAAACUGGGAAACAAACUGAGGCGCCCAGGAGAGCAUGGAAGAGGACUAGAAAGAUGGGGAAACAGAGCUCUGUACAUGUGGUGAAUACUUUGUGGUAUGAAAGAGGCUAGUCAUGGUCACAAGAAAAAAAAAAUCCUUUUGUCUCUGACAGACAUAUCAACAUUGCCAAGUUUCACCCAGCUGAGAGGAAAGGGCUGUGAAGCCCAGGCUGGAAAAAUGUACUGCAAUGCCUAAUGCUGCAACUGGCAACUUGCUAUCACUAUGAGAGGUGCUGCUAGUUUGAGAGCAGUCUGGUGCAGUGAAGCGCCUCAAACAUGCUCCAACCUGGGGAACGGAAUAUGAUAGCUUUGUUUUCUUUUCCCCGAUUAAAAAGUGUUUAAGAGAAAUUACAGGGCAUUGACACAUAGAUGUGCGCAAAUACUUUGUUAAA